GUGCUGCUGAGGGGUCCCACAAUAGGACGAAACGGCCGUUCAGUGC
RNAcentral lists this non-coding RNA (46 nucleotides) under Schistosoma haematobium. The record is from RNAcentral. Lineage: Eukaryota; Metazoa; Platyhelminthes; Trematoda; Strigeidida; Schistosomatidae.